UGCCAGCAGCCGCGGUAAUACGGAGGAUUCGAGCGUUAUCCGGAUUUAUUGGGUUUAAAGGGUGCGUAGGUGGUUUUAUAAGUUAGUGGUAAAAGGCAGUGGCUCAACCAUUGUGCGCCAUUAAAACUGUAGAACUAGAGAGCAGAUGCAGCUGGCGGAAUGUGUAGUGUAGCGGUGAAAUGCAUAGAUAUUACACAGAACACCGAUUGCGAAGGCAGCUGGCUAAUCUGUUUCUGACACUGAGGCACGAAAGCGUGGGGAUCAAACGGGAUUAGAUA
This 278-nucleotide ribosomal RNA is filed under the name uncultured bacterium. RNAcentral describes it as "partial 16S ribosomal RNA". It matches the Rfam family "Bacterial small subunit ribosomal RNA", at positions 506 to 784 of the family's 1533-position model. The record is from RNAcentral.